RNAcentral lists this transfer RNA (63 nucleotides) under Mercenaria mercenaria. RNAcentral's name for it is "tRNA-Ser". Lineage: Eukaryota; Metazoa; Mollusca; Bivalvia; Venerida; Veneridae. The record is from RNAcentral.
GGCUUUACUGGAAUAUGGUUACCUUGAAAUUAACUUAAAGAUGUUCGAUUCAUCUAAAAGCUU